RNAcentral lists this ribosomal RNA (250 nucleotides) under uncultured bacterium. RNAcentral describes it as "partial 16S ribosomal RNA". It matches the Rfam family "Bacterial small subunit ribosomal RNA", at positions 338 to 604 of the family's 1533-position model. The record is from RNAcentral.
CCUACGGGGGGCAGCAGUGGGGAAUAUUGCGCAAUGGGGGAAACCCUGACGCAGCAACGCCGCGUGCGGGAUGAAGGCCUUCGGGUUGUAAACCGCUUUCAGCAGGGAAGAUCCAAGACGGUACCUGCAGAAGAAGCCCCGGCUAACUACGUGCCAGCAGCCGCGGUAAUACGCAGGGGGCAAGCGUUAUCCGGAUUUACUGGGUGUAAAGGGUGCGUAGGUGGCAGGGCACGUCAGAUGUGAAAGCCCG